Molecule: long non-coding RNA, 335 nt
Filed under: Olea europaea (common olive)
Lineage: Eukaryota; Viridiplantae; Streptophyta; Magnoliopsida; Lamiales; Oleaceae
Description: long non-coding RNA (OEUR_LNC006400)
Source: RNAcentral
AGUGGAUAUUUGCAAAAAUAUAAUUUUCCAUUCAUAAAAUCUUUCUGAAAAUCAACAUAUAGCAUAAAAUUUCUUUUCACAUACAUAUAAACUAAAUAUUUAUUCUUUAAACUGAAUAGGCUGAGUUCUGUAGCUUAAAAUCUGAUGAUAUAAUCAAAACUAAAAUAUACUGUAAUCAUAAACAUCUUUAUUCUGUAUACUGCAUUUCUAAAAUCUGAUAAGCUAUGUGAUACUGAAACAUCACACCAAAAAUGUACCCGGAAUAACCAUACUCGUGAAUCGAUUAAUCUCGAUAUACAUAGCAAGGUUAUUCAAUUCUGAAAUUCUGGAAUUCU